Molecule: ribosomal RNA, 425 nt
Filed under: uncultured bacterium
Lineage: Bacteria
Description: partial 16S ribosomal RNA
Rfam family: Bacterial small subunit ribosomal RNA
Source: RNAcentral
AACUUUGGACAUUGGGGGAAACCCUGUUCCAGCCAUCCCGCGUGUUUGAUGAAGACCUUCGGUUUGUAAAGUACUUUUGGCAGAGAACAAUAGGCAGCCCCUAAUACGGGAUACUGCUGACGGUACCUGCAGACUAAGCACCGGCUAACUACGUGCCAGCAGCCGCGGUAAUACGUAUGGUCCAAGCGGUAAUCGGAAUUACUGGGCGGAAAGCGUGGGGAGGCGGUUAGGAAAGAAAGAUGUGAGAUCCCAGGGCUCAACCUUGGAACUGCAUUUUUAACUGCCGAGCUAGAGUAUGUCAGAGGGGGGUAGAAUUCCACGUGUAGCAGUGAAAUGCGUAGAUAUGUGGAGGAAUACCGAUGGCGAAGGCAGCCCCCCUGGGAUAAUACUGACGCUCAGACACGAAAGCGUGGGGAGCAAACAGG